GGUGAAUUUCAAAAAAAAGAAUUAAGUGUGGUGUUUUAAUUGCAAUAUUUUGAAAAUAAUAUGAAAAUAUGUUAUUUUCGAUAAUUUAUUGAUGUAAAAAAUAUUGAAACACAGAGUAUAUAACUUUAUUUAACGUUUGGAUGUUUGGAAUAAGAAAUGACAUAUAUUUUCCUAGAGAAGCGUGAUAAAGCUCAACUUUUUCUAAACCAAGUAAAGGAUUAUACCUGUUUAAUCUAAUGUUUUGCAUCAUCAUUGGACAAGUGUAAAGUAAUUGGAGGCUGUCCAGAAAAAUAUGUCAAACAAACUGUUAUAGAUGCGUGAUUGGCUGAUUCGUUGUCGGGGAGAAGAGAAAAUAGUCACCAUGACCCAAAACAUAGACGCAAAUAAGAGUAGCACUACUAUUAUGCUAAAGACAUUACUAGCAUGCCAAAAUUCAAAUUUGUAAGUGUACCCACUAAUUAUUAUAUUUGGUACAUUGAACUUUGACGUAUCAUUAAUAGUUGGAAUGAGCGAUGGAUUCAAUUUUGUCUCACUCUUAAUACAAUUAUUUUU
RNAcentral lists this long non-coding RNA (552 nucleotides) under Salvia miltiorrhiza (redroot sage). Its description in RNAcentral is "long non-coding RNA (SMIL_LNC001631)". Lineage: Eukaryota; Viridiplantae; Streptophyta; Magnoliopsida; Lamiales; Lamiaceae. The record is from RNAcentral.